RNAcentral lists this ribosomal RNA (419 nucleotides) under bacterium. RNAcentral's name for it is "partial 16S ribosomal RNA". It matches the Rfam family "Bacterial small subunit ribosomal RNA", at positions 355 to 776 of the family's 1533-position model. The record is from RNAcentral.
UGGGGGAUAUUGCACAAUGGGCGCAAGCCUGAUGCAGCGACGCCGCGUGGGGGAUGAAGGCCUUCGGGUUGUAAACUUCUUUUGCUCUGAACAAGGCGCACUUUGGGGUGUGUUGAGUGUAGGGGUUGAUUAGCGCCGGCUAACUACGUGCCAGCAGCCGCGGUAAUACGUAGGGCGCGAGCGUUGUCCGGAAUUAUUGGGCGUAAAGGGCUUGUAGGUGGCUGGUUGCGUCUGUCGUGAAAGCUCAUGGCUGAACUGUGGGUUUGCGGUGGGUACGGGCGGGCUUGAGUGCAGUAGGGGAGGCUGGAAGUCCUGGUGUAGCGGUGGAAUGCGCAGAUAUCAGGAGGAAUACCGGUGGCGAAGGCGGGUCUCUGGGCUGUUACUGACACUGAGGAGCGAAAGCAUGGGGAGCGAACAGG